GACUAUGAGGCUUUUUUGAUACAAAUAAAACCAUAAUUAUAUUGUUAUGGUUUAAAACCAUAGCUAAAACCUACAAAAUGUUUUUGAAAAAAGGCCCGCGAAAAUUUUUGUUCUCACGGGCUAAUAUUUGAAGAGAGCGAAUUAUGUGAGACUCUAGCCUCAUGCAAGACGGUGCUGCCUGCGAGCUUUUUCAUUCACGCUUUUUUGUUAGGAUUUCUCUCCAUCAAGUAAAUGAGUUUCCGGAGCUUGGAGAUUGUGGGUUGGAGAUGCAACGACAAGGGUGAUGGAGGUAGUUUUGGAGGGGGUGAAAUAGAGAUAGAGGUGGUGGUGAUUACAAAGGGUGGGUGGAGAUAGUAGGGGUGAGAGGUAGGUUUGUGACGAGAAAAGGAUUAGGGAUUUGGGGCUUGCGACUGGAGGUAGGUUUGGAGGCAAAAAAAUUAAAAUCUCAAUUAACAUGCAUUUCAGAUGAAUGUUUAAAUGCUUCAAUGAAAAUGCGCAUGCAUCUUUUGUUUUGUUGGACUAGGAUUUGUAUCAUCCUUAGACAAGAUUGGGAGGAUGUGUCAUCUGUAUCUAACCAGGGACCAUGCUAUAUUCCUACACAACCUCUUACAUGGGGACGACAUUCAAUCCAUAGCUUAGUUUCACAAGAAGACACUCUUCGAUGACUACUGCAUCUCCAGCCAGAAUGACGACCGCAUCACCUCCGCCAUUAACCUCAUCCUUGUACAUUGCCCUUUUGCAGCAACCUCACUAUUGAGGGCGGAGACCACCUCUAGAUUAAGCUUGUCUAGAAGCUCUAGUUCCCUCUAGCCCAUGCCUUUCCUCACUUUCAAGACUAAAGUGCUUGUUUAAAUGCCUAGCCUAAUCCUUAUUGACAAUUGCGUUGUGACGCUAAUGCAUUUAGCCUCCAAUUCUAUUAAAGCCUACUAAUGGUGUUAUCUAUGGACUUAUUUAUUUUUAUGUGAUUGUUUAAAAUCAUUGUUGAAAACUUAAAUUUGUUUCCUUAAGGUGAUUAUCAUCAAGCAUUUUUUUUUUUUUUUUGGAGCUAUUGGUUUAUGCUAGAGUUAGAAAUUUAUAUCCAUAUGGCUAUUUUGCAUGUUGUUCCUUUAGUUAGUAGUUUCCAUGGUUAUGAUAUUAUAAUCAAUAUAUAUUGGAAAUAUUGUUUAGUCAUGAGAAAAUUAAGUAGCUGAUUGUAAGGAGGUCAAGAAAGCUGUUUAUUUUUUAUCCAAUUCUAUCUUAUCUUUGAUAUUUGAAGCACAAGUUGCUCUU
Magnolia sinica is the source of this 1269-nucleotide long non-coding RNA. RefSeq lists it as uncharacterized. NCBI's taxonomy places the organism in Eukaryota, Viridiplantae, Streptophyta, Magnoliopsida, Magnoliales, Magnoliaceae. The transcript is spliced from 2 exons. The record is from RefSeq and is a predicted model, not a curated record.